Molecule: ribosomal RNA, 2900 nt
Filed under: human gut metagenome
Description: bacterial LSU rRNA
Rfam family: Bacterial large subunit ribosomal RNA
Source: RNAcentral
UUAAGCGACUAAGCGUACACGGUGGAUGCCCUGGCAGUCAGAGGCGAUGAAGGACGUGCUAAUCUGCGAAAAGCGUCGGUAAGGUGAUAUGAACCGUUAUAACCGGCGAUGUCCGAAUGGGGAAACCCAGUGCAAUUCGUUGCACUAUCGUUAACUGAAUACAUAGGUUAACGAGGCGAACCGGGGGAACUGAAACAUCUAAGUACCCCGAGGAAAAGAAAUCAACCGAGAUUCCCCCAGUAGCGGCGAGCGAACGGGGAGCAGCCCAGAGUCUGAAUCAGCUUGUGUGUUAGUGGAACGGUCUGGAAAGUCCGACGGUACAGGGUGAUAGUCCCGUACACCAAAAUGCACAGGCUGUGAACUCGAAGAGUAGGGCGGGACACGUGGUAUCCUGUCUGAAUAUGGGGGGACCAUCCUCCAAGGCUAAAUACUCCUGACUGACCGAUAGUGAACCAGUACCGUGAGGGAAAGGCGAAAAGAACCCCGGCGAGGGGAGUGAAAAAGAACCUGAAACCGUGUACGUACAAGCAGUGGGAGCACCUUCGGGUGUGACUGCGUACCUUUUGUAUAAUGGGUCAGCGACUUAUAUUCUGUAGCAAGGUUAACCGUAUAGGGGAGCCGCAGGGAAACCGAGUCUUAACUGGGCGUUAAGUUGCAGGGUAUAGACCCGAAACCCGGUGAUCUAGCCAUGGGCAGGUUGAAGGUUGGGUAACACUAACUGGAGGACCGAACCGACUAAUGUUGAAAAAUUAGCGGAUGACUUGUGGCUGGGGGUGAAAGGCCAAUCAAACCGGGAGAUAGCUGGUUCUCCCCGAAAGCUAUUUAGGUAGCGCCUCGUGAAUUCAUCUUCGGGGGUAGAGCACUGUUUCGGCUAGGGGGUCAUCCCGACUUACCAACCCGAUGCAAACUACGAAUACCGAAGAAUGUUAUCACGGGAGACACACGGCGGGUGCUAACGUCCGUCGUGAAGAGGGAAACAACCCAGACCGCCAGCUAAGGUCCCAAAGUCAUGGUUAAGUGGGAAACGAUGUGGGAAGGCACAGACAGCCAGGAUGUUGGCUUAGAAGCAGCCAUCAUUUAAAGAAAGCGUAAUAGCUCACUGGUCGAGUCGGCCUGCGCGGAAGAUGUAACGGGGCUAAACCAUGCACCGAAGCUGCGGCAGCGACACUAUGUGUUGUUGGGUAGGGGAGCGUUCUGUAAGCCUGCGAAGGUGACCUGUGAGGGUUGCUGGAGGUAUCAGAAGUGCGAAUGCUGACAUAAGUAACGAUAAAGCGGGUGAAAAGCCCGCUCGCCGGAAGACCAAGGGUUCCUGUCCAACGUUAAUCGGGGCAGGGUGAGUCGACCCCUAAGGCGAGGCCGAAAGGCGUAGUCGAUGGGAAACAGGUUAAUAUUCCUGUACUUGGUGUUACUGCGAAGGGGGGACGGAGAAGGCUAUGUUAGCCGGGCGACGGUUGUCCCGGUUUAAGCAUGUAGGCUGGUUGUCCAGGCAAAUCCGGAUAAUCAAGGCUGAGGUGUGAUGACGAGGCACUACGGUGCUGAAGUAACAAAUGCCCUGCUUCCAGGAAAAGCCUCUAAGCAUCAGGUAACAUCAAAUCGUACCCCAAACCGACACAGGUGGUCAGGUAGAGAAUACCAAGGCGCUUGAGAGAACUCGGGUGAAGGAACUAGGCAAAAUGGUGCCGUAACUUCGGGAGAAGGCACGCUGGUGUGUAGGUGAAGUCCCUGCGGAUGGAGCUGAGACCAGUCGAAGAUACCAGCUGGCUGCAACUGUUUAUUAAAAACACAGCACUGUGCAAACACGAAAGUGGACGUAUACGGUGUGACGCCUGCCCGGUGCCGGAAGGUUAAUUGAUGGGGUUAUCCGUAAGGAGAAGCUCUUGAUCGAAGCCCCGGUAAACGGCGGCCGUAACUAUAACGGUCCUAAGGUAGCGAAAUUCCUUGUCGGGUAAGUUCCGACCUGCACGAAUGGCGUAAUGAUGGCCAGGCUGUCUCCACCCGAGACUCAGUGAAAUUGAACUCGCUGUGAAGAUGCAGUGUACCCGCGGCAAGACGGAAAGACCCCGUGAACCUUUACUAUAGCUUGACACUGAACAUUGAGCCUUGAUGUGUAGGAUAGGUGGGAGGCUUUGAAGCGUGGACGCCAGUCUGCGUGGAGCCAACCUUGAAAUACCACCCUUUAAUGUUUGAUGUUCUAACGUUGGCCCCUUACCGGGGUUGCGGACAGUGUCUGGUGGGUAGUUUGACUGGGGCGGUCUCCUCCCAAAGCGUAACGGAGGAGCACGAAGGUUAGCUAAUCCUGGUCGGACAUCAGGAGGUUAGUGCAAUGGCAUAAGCUAGCUUGACUGCGAGCGUGACGGCGCGAGCAGGUGCGAAAGCAGGUCAUAGUGAUCCGGUGGUUCUGAAUGGAAGGGCCAUCGCUCAACGGAUAAAAGGUACUCCGGGGAUAACAGGCUGAUACCGCCCAAGAGUUCAUAUCGACGGCGGUGUUUGGCACCUCGAUGUCGGCUCAUCACAUCCUGGGGCUGAAGUAGGUCCCAAGGGUAUGGCUGUUCGCCAUUUAAAGUGGUACGCGAGCUGGGUUUAGAACGUCGUGAGACAGUUCGGUCCCUAUCUGCCGUGGGCGCUGGAGAAUUGAGGGGGGCUGCUCCUAGUACGAGAGGACCGGAGUGGACGCAUCACUGGUGUUCGGGUUGUCAUGCCAAUGGCACUGCCCGGUAGCUAAAUGCGGAAGAGAUAAGUGCUGAAAGCAUCUAAGCACGAAACUUGCCCCGAGAUGAGUUCUCCCUGACUCCUUGAGGGUCCUGAAGGAACGUUGAAGACGACGACGUUGAUAGGCCGGGUGUGUAAGCGCAGCGAUGCGUUGAGCUAACCGGUACUAAUGAACCGUGAGGCUUAACCUU